Long non-coding RNA from Zingiber officinale, 3538 nucleotides. RefSeq lists it as uncharacterized. The transcript is spliced from 4 exons. The record is from RefSeq and is a predicted model, not a curated record. NCBI's taxonomy places the organism in Eukaryota, Viridiplantae, Streptophyta, Magnoliopsida, Zingiberales, Zingiberaceae.
GAUCCUCUUCUUCCCCUAAGCCCAAUGCCGACCGACUGCCCCCUCCACUUCUCCAAACCACCGACAACUCCUCUUCUCCCCUCUUCCGCGUUCAUAACCCCCGGCCAAAGGAAAGCCCGAAGCCCCAGCGUCACUUUCCCUCUACCUCUUGCGUCUGCCCAAAGUCACCGAUCACCUCUCACGUCGUCGAUCACCCUCUCGCGUCACCCUCGGUCGCCACAGCCGACGCCACUCCAAUCUCCGACGCUACUGACCGCCGGGUGCCACUCCGAUUAGUGCUACCAUCUUCGCCAACCGAUUGUUGAUGUCGGCACCGCCGCACCCUCUGCCCUAACGUCGACCACCUCUGCUCUCAACCCCCUCCCAUCUCGCCGAUUAGCGGACACUGAGCAUCGACGCCGGCUGUUCAAGCCCUAGCAUCGAGUUUCUCCAGCUUUGGCACUUGCGUGCAGUCCCGAUCUUGCAAAACACCAACGGUUCUUCUUUACCGCGCACUAGUUCUAUUGUGUUUGGUUGAGUAGUUGACGGUGUCUCUAUCGGAGAAGAAAUCGGCUGGUACCAAGAUUGGGAUUUGGAUUCGGGAUGAGCACUUCAACACAGAGGUUGAUUAGCUCGAUCUACAUUGGAGGCGGUUGAUGCAAUUCUCAAGUGACACCUGAAGAAUAGUGGAUUGAUCUUGAUUUUGGAAUGUGAAAUGCAGAGAAAUGCAGAAAUAUACUUUUUAAUUCUGAAGUGUGUUGAGCUUCUACAAUGUUUCUUAAUCAGUGAAGAGAUCAAGCAAAGUUUGAAUUCUGUAUGAAGAAAUCUUUAUAGCUUGAGUUGGAAUUCAAGAACUCCAACCAACUAAUUGCAAACUUUUUUGGCAACACUUUGAAGAGGAUGCUCCUGCACUUGGAAUUUCUGUGAAUAUUAGAAUGGAAAGCUAUGGGAAAACACUAAAUUUAUGCUUUGUAAUUUCUGAAAUUUCAUUGAAUUGGAAAGAAGCUGAAUUCUGGGGAAUGUGUAGCUGAAAUGGUACAUAACAAGUAAAAGAGAAAUGUUGAAUUCUGAAACAUAUCAAGUUAUAGCAGAUUUUUAAUCAGAAUCAAGCUUAAGAAGAUAUAUUUGGCUCUAUUUGCUAUUUGUUGUACUUCCUCUACAAGUAGUGCCUGAUCCGUGUGCCAACUGAAAUUUUUAGAUUACUAGAAUUUGAAUUGCUGAAAUAGAAACAUUAUGUUCAAGCUGUAGAAUGCUGAAAUGGAAAUCUGGAAAACUGAAUGUUUGGAGGGCUGCUGAUUGGAAUCAUUGAAAUUUAUUUUGAAGCUGCUGAUUGAAGUAAUAAUUUAUAGAUACCAGCAUGGUGCUGAAUUCCAGAAGAAGUGCUGAAAUUGCAAAAUUUAUAGGGCUGAAUUUAUGGGUCUGUGAGGCUUGGCUGGUUAAAUAACAAUAGUUGUGAAGUAGAGAAAGUUAAGAAUGGUGUUUAUAACAACAACAACUAGGAGGAGAAGCAUAGUGUUCAUCAUCAGAAAUGCAGGACGGGAAUUAAGAUUGUUGUGCAGAUAUGCAGAAGUUAAAAAAUGUUUGAAAAAAAUGAGCAGAAAUGCAUGUAAGUUAAUGUGCAAGAAUAUACUAGAUGUAUGUAAUGAACUUUUCGAUUGGAAGGAAUUGAAGGGCAAGCUAAUUGUGAUUGAAUGCUAUGAAGAUAGUCUUUUGGAGGUUAAAGCUUUAUUGUUUGGCCGGAAUUUCCAAGUAGAUCAGAAAUGAAGAAAAUGCAGAAAUUUCUGCAAAUGAAGCAUUUUUGUGCCAUUUUAGAAAUAAGUUAUAACAAGCUAGAGUUUCUAAAAUCUGAAAAUUUUUGGAGGAUGAAUUGAUAAGGUUCUUAAAAGGCUAGAUGGAAAAGGAAUUGAGAUGUUUGGCGGCUAAAUGAUGUAUAGUUGACACAAAAUCAGGAUGCUAUACAGGGGAGGGGAUUCAGGGUUUACACUAACUGUGCUACAUGGUGGAACUUUUGGAUCACUGUGAAGUUAUAAACCAGGUGUUGUUCUUUAAGAUUAUUCAAUUGAUGACAGUCAUUGCUGGGAGCAAAUUGAUGGUUGGACAAAUUGAGAUAUACACAUCAGAAUUAAGAUAAAGUCUAGAGUACUGAAUUUUGCUACUGUUCUUGUGUAACUUUAAUUUGUUUCAUUCUCUUGCUGUCAUUGAUACUGAUUGAACUGCUUAUUAGUUUGAAUAAGAAUAACGUCUAUUGAUUCAAUGAGUGUGUGUGUUGGAUAACAUAAUUUUAAGCUGCUGGAAUUUAAAAUGCAGAGUGUCGAAUGAUAUUCUUUGCUAAGUUGGAAUGUUCAUAACUUAAGCUGGAGCUACUUAGUUUCUUGAAUUCUGAUACUUGAGUCCAAGAUUCUAAUGGAAGCAGGAAUAUGCUCCUGGAAAUUGAACAAAAGCCUCAGAUGGAUGCUACAUACUUUUAAAAGGAAUCAAAUUUUUACAUUUCUAAUGUGAUGUAUCAAUGGUGUUCCAUACUUGGUUGUGGAAUUUUGGUUAGGAAGAAGCCAAUGAGAAAAGGAAGAAGAGUGAUAAUUCCAAUGAAUCCAGAAUCUGAAUUUUAAAGUGCAGAAUUCAGAAUCAAAUCAGUGAGGUUUUGAAGUUGAAGUUGCAAAAACUACAACUCAAUUACAGUAAAUAUCAAUUCUGAAAUUGAAGUAUCAUUGGAGUUUUGAUUUGGAAUUGCCCUUGCAGUCUUUUAAGAUCUUCUCUACAGAAUUUUUGAAGCAGAUGUUAGAAUCCAGAUUCCAUUUACUGAAAUAGCAGCACUUUACUAAUUGCUGAUCUGAAAUAUGGGAAACCAAAAUUCUGCAUUUACUUAUGGGAGCCAAAAGUUUCUGAGCAGAAGGAAGUCAAUGAAAGGAGUCUAGAUUCAAGCACUAAUUUUCUGGGAAUGAAUUUCUAAUUUGGAAGCAGUAAGCACAAAAAUUCCAUAAGCUGAUUCUGCAGGAUGCAAAAUUUAUGAGACUAUGUUGCGGGGAAUUUUGUAGGAAUUUUUAAAAGAUUUUUGAAGUUGUUCUACAGAAAUAUGAGUGGAAUUCAAGAGCUGUAAUCUAAUGUUCUUGCUACCUUUGAUAACCUGUACCAUGUUGCAGAACUUGGAAUUGUUCAACUACACUGCAGUACAAGCAAUCAGUAGAAAGAAAAGGAAUCUGUCCUCGUAAGCAUUUCUGCAGGUUCAAGAAUUUCUAUUUUCCUUUGUGAUCAAAGCUGCAAUUGGUAGUUAAUGGAAUUUGAUUUGGUCUUCUACUAUUGCAAUAGAGAUGUACAUUUUUAUUGAGUCUGCCAAUCACAGAAACAGUGGACAAAUUCUGUAGCUAAAAAGGAGUAAACAGUGGUUAAAGUGUGUUGAGUUUUUGGAUACAUGAUAUGUUUUAUUGCCCGAGACGACCAAUGUUUUAAGUGUGGGGGAGGGAACUCUUCUUGGCAAGUUGAUGUGAGAUUAUUUUAGUUUCGAAAUGCUGAAAUUGAAGUGCAAAAACAGUGAAGAAGAAAGGAAAAACAGUGGCAAAACAAA